AGACUCCGCUGGACAUUUCUCUCUCUAAAAGAAAAUGCCUACCGAUACUGCGGCACAGAGGAAGGGAAAAACUUGCGAUCUAGUGAAGAUUCGUAUGGCCGGCCAUCGCCAUCCCAUGCCAGACUUAGACAAUCAAGCCAUAUUGUGAUGCAGAGAAACGGAAGAAAAAAAAAAUAGAAACUGCGAUCCAGCGGAGAAUCGUGCGAUUAAAGGUUUGCUAUCAAUUUAGGGAUUUGAGAUAUGGAGGUAGAGUUUGGCGCAACUCCGUGACUAACCGAAUCGGAACUAACAACAGACCGACGAAAGGUACCGUUUUGCUGCUGACAAAAUGCAUCCAUCUAGGUCUUCAACACCAGUUGAUGGUGCCCAGUUUGUUUCACCUGCGCUGAUUCAAUUAAAAUCUGCCAUUUUAGAAUCUCAAGGGAGUCUAUUACCUCCACAAGUAGCAUUUACUUCAGUUGAAAUUGAAUGUUACAGAUUUUUUUUUUUUUUCCCUUUGAUUUGGUUAUGAACUAAGAAAUAUAAGUUAGUUUUGAUUUAAGCUUUUGGGUUGGGUUAUUUGUAUAGUGAAAAGGCAUGUCUGUUUUAUUUCAAUGUAAUUUGUCAGGCUCCUAAGUAAAUACCACCAAAGUUCAAAAUGUGAAGUUGUAUUUCUAUUGUACAAUUUUAUUAUAUUUUCACUUUGACACUUGAUUUGCUGUCAUUUUUAACAGCAUGAUCAAAUGAUUAAAAUAAAUAGAGUGAGAAGUAUGAUAUUUUGAGAUUUGAAUACAAAGUAGAUUUACCC
Long non-coding RNA from Quercus robur (English oak), 787 nucleotides. RefSeq lists it as uncharacterized. Lineage: Eukaryota; Viridiplantae; Streptophyta; Magnoliopsida; Fagales; Fagaceae. The transcript has 3 exons. The record is from RefSeq and is a predicted model, not a curated record.